CUUGUCACCCAGAGGCAUUGCAGGGGUAGCUGCUUUGUCACAUGUGUAUUAGUAGGUGGCAGAGAAGAAAGAGUCUAUGUCUUCUUUCAGUGUUCUAAUCUAUGAACAUCUGAAUAAUUAAUGGCCUAUCUUU
Molecule: small nucleolar RNA, 133 nt
Organism: Grammomys surdaster
Lineage: Eukaryota; Metazoa; Chordata; Mammalia; Rodentia; Muridae
Product: small nucleolar RNA SNORA17
Exons: 1
Source: RefSeq, a predicted model, not a curated record